AAGCAGAACUGGCGCUGUGGGAUGAACCAAACGCGCGGUUAAGGCGCCCCAAUGCGGACGCUCAUUGAGACACGCACAAAAGGUGUUGGUCGAUACUGACAGCAGGACGGUGGCCAUGGAAGUCGGAACCGCUAAGGAGUGUGUAACAACUCACCUGCCGAAUCAACCAGCCCUGAAAAUGGAUGGCGCUGGAGCGUCGGGCCUAUACCGUGCCGUUGGGCGAAGCAGACAAAUAAUCUGUGUGGAUGUCCCAACGAGUAGGAGAGGGUCGCCGUGGGUGAGCGCAGAAGGUGCGGCCGUGAGGCCGGCUGGAGCCGCCACGGGCGCAGAUCUUGGUGGUAGUAGCAAUUACUUCAAGUGAGAACCUUGAGGACUGAAGUGAGAAGGUUUCCAUGUGAACAGCAGUUGAACAUGGGUCAGGCGGUCCUAAGCGAUCGGUAACUCCGUAGCCUAGACGAGGGUGACAACUAUCACUGAUAAUACUGUGAAGUGUUAUAGCCGCUUCCGGAGCGAAAGGGAAUCGUGUUAAUAUUCACGACCUUACCGGUGGAGAUCGCCCCUUUCGGGGGCAAGGUGCGGUAACGCAAACGAACACAGACGACGGUCGGCUGAGCCCGGAAGAGUUCUCUUUUCUUUGUAAGGAGCGUACCCCCUGGAAUCGGCUUUGUCCGGAGAUAGGGGCGUGGCUUCCCGUAAAGCAGCGCGGUCUUGCGCUGUCCGGUGCACUCUAGUCGGCCCUUGAAAAUCUGUGGGAGACAGUGUGAUUUUCACGGUAGGCCGUACCCAUAUCCGCAGCAGGUCUCCAAGGUGAACAGCCUCUAGUCCUAGAACAAUGUAGGUAAGGAAGUCGGCAAAAUGGAUCCGUAACUUCGGAAAAGGAUUGGCUCUGAGGGCUGGGUCGGAUGGGCUGGCGUAAGAAGCUGUUCCGGUUUUGGUGAGGACUGGGCGAGGCUUUCGGGCUUUACUCGGACCAUGCCGAGACCAGGCAGUAGACGACGUCAGCUGUGCUUGUCGUGUUUCGGCGCGGCAGCUUCGUCCGGCAACAAACAGCCAACUCAGAACUGGCACGGACUAGGGGAAUCCGACUGUCUAAUUAAAACAAAGCAUUGCGAUGGCUGUUGUUGCUCGUGUUGACGCAAUGUGAUUUCUGCCAGUGCUCUGAAUGUCAAAGUGAAGAAAUUCAAAUCAAGCGCGGGUAAACGGCGGGAGUGGACUACGACUCUCUUAGACGGGCCGCUUGAUGAUGGUGUGCUGGACUGAGAGACAAACCUGAGCGUGGCGUGGGCAGACCAGCCUGCUGUUACUUGGUGGACAUGCAGGUUAGGCCACUGCCACCUCGAGAUGGUGAAACUAUGCUAUGUUGAGGCAGAAGCUUGGCCGAAGCUUGGAUGACUGUUCAGUAAU
Macrostomum lignano is the source of this 1404-nucleotide non-coding RNA. The record is from Rfam. Lineage: Eukaryota; Metazoa; Platyhelminthes; Macrostomidae.